GCUUGCUUCUCUUGAGAGCGGCGGACGGGUGAGUAAUGCCUAGGAAUCUGCCUGGUAGUGGGGGAUAACGUCCGGAAACGGACGCUAAUACCGCAUACGUCCUACGGGAGAAAGCAGGGGACCUUCGGGCCUUGCGCUAUCAGAUGAGCCUAGGUCGGAUUAGCUAGUUGGUGGGGUAAUGGCUCACCAAGGCGACGAUCCGUAACUGGUCUGAGAGGAUGAUCAGUCACACUGGAACUGAGACACGGUCCAGACUCCUACGGGAGGCAGCAGUGGGGAAUAUUGGACAAUGGGCGAAAGCCUGAUCCAGCCAUGCCGCGUGUGUGAAGAAGGUCUUCGGAUUGUAAAGCACUUUAAGUUGGGAGGAAGGGCAGUAAAUUAAUACUUUGCUGUUUUGACGUUACCGACAGAAUAAGCACCGGCUAACUCUGUGCCAGCAGCCGCGGUAAUACAGAGGGUGCAAGCGUUAAUCGGAAUUACUGGGCGUAAAGCGCGCGUAGGUGGUUCGUUAAGUUGGAUGUGAAAUCCCCGGGCUCAACCUGGGAACUGCAUUCAAAACUGACGAGCUAGAGUAUGGUAGAGGGUGGUGGAAUUUCCUGUGUAGCGGUGAAAUGCGUAGAUAUAGGAAGGAACACCAGUGGCGAA
Molecule: ribosomal RNA, 645 nt
Filed under: uncultured bacterium
Lineage: Bacteria
Description: bacterial SSU rRNA
Rfam family: Bacterial small subunit ribosomal RNA
Source: RNAcentral